CGCCCAGAUUGAACGCUGGCGGGAUGCUUUACACAUGCAAGUCGAACGGCAGCACGGACUUCGGUCUGGUGGCGAGUGGCGAACGGGUGAGUAAUGCACUGAACGUGCCUAGUAGCGGGGGAUAACCAUGCGAAAGCGUAGCUAAUACCGCAUACGCCCUUCGGGGGAAAGCGGGGGACCUUCGGGCCUUCACUAUUAGAGCUAUUGAUAUCGGAUUAGCUAGUUGCGGGGUAACGGCUCACCACAAGGCGACGAUCCGUAGCUGGUUUGAGGACGACCAGCCACACUGGGACUGAGACACGGCCCAGACUCUACGGAGGCAGCAGUGGGGAAUUUUGGACAAUGGGGAAACCCUGAUCCAGCCAUCCCGCGUGUGCUAAGGAAGGCCUUCGGGUUAGAAGCACUUUUGGCAGGAAAGAAACGGCACGGAUAAUACCCCGUGUGCAACUGACGGUACCUGAGAAUAAGCACCGGCUAACCCAUGCCAGCAGCCGCGGUAAUACGUAGGGUGCAAGCGUUAAUCGGAAUUACCGGGCGCAAAGCGCACAGCGUCUGGAAAGAAAGAUGUGAAAUCCUGAGCUUAACUUGGAACUGCAUUUUUAACUACCGAGCUAGAGUGUGUCAGAGGGAGGUGGAAUUCCGCGUAGCAGUGAAAUGCGUAGAUAUGGAGGAAACUACCGAUGGCGAAGGCAGCCUUCUGGGAUAAACAUCGACGCUCAUGCAGAAAGCGUGGGGAGCAAACAGGAUUAGAUACCCUGGUAGUCCACGCUCUAAACGAUGUCAACGAAGGUUGGGGCUCGGGCCUUGGUAGCGCAGCUAACGCGUGAAGUUGACUCGCCCACGGGGAGUACGGUCGGCGGAUUAAAACUCAAAGGAAUUGACGGGGACUCCGCACAAGCGGUGGAUGAUGUGGAUUAAUUCGAUGCAACGCGAAAACCUUACCUACCCUUGACAUGUCUGGAAUCCCGAAGAGAUUUGGGAGUGCUCGUAAGAGAACCGGAACACAGGUGCUGCAUGGCUGUCGUCAGCUCGUGUCGUGAGAUGUUGGGUUAAGUCCCGCAACGAGCGCAACUCGUCAUUAGUUGUUACGAAAGGGCACUCUAAUGAGACUGCCGGUGACAAACCGGAGGGGAAGGUGGGGAUGACGUCAAGUCCUUUUUGGCCCCAGGGUAGGGCUUCACACGUCAUACAAUACCGGGACAGAGGUCGCCAACCCGCGAGGGGGAGCCAAUCCCAGAAACCCGAUCGUAGUCCGGAUCGCAGUCUGCAACUCGGACUGCGUGAAGUCGGAAUCGCUAGUAAUCGCGGAUCAGCAUGUCGCGUAAACAUGCCCUGUCUUGUACACACCGCCCGUCACACCAUGGGGAGUGGGUUUUACCAGAAGUAGUUAGCCUUAACCGUAAGGAGGGCGAUUACUAAUGGUAGGAUUCAUGACUGGGGUGAAGUCGUAACAAGGUAG
This 1459-nucleotide ribosomal RNA is filed under the name uncultured Bordetella sp. RNAcentral's name for it is "partial 16S-23S ribosomal RNA intergenic spacer". It matches the Rfam family "Bacterial small subunit ribosomal RNA". The record is from RNAcentral. Lineage: Bacteria; Pseudomonadati; Pseudomonadota; Betaproteobacteria; Burkholderiales; Alcaligenaceae.